This 250-nucleotide ribosomal RNA is filed under the name uncultured bacterium. RNAcentral's name for it is "partial 16S ribosomal RNA". It matches the Rfam family "Bacterial small subunit ribosomal RNA", at positions 524 to 772 of the family's 1533-position model. The record is from RNAcentral.
CACGUAGGCACCAAGCGUUAUCCGGAUUUAUUGGGCGUAAAGAGCUCGUAGGCGGUUUGGUAAGUCGGGUGUGAAAACUCAGGGCUCAACCCUGAGAGGCCACUCGAUACUGCUAUGACUAGAGUACGGUAGGGGAGCGGGGAAUUCAUGGUGUAGCGGUGAAAUGCGCAGAUAUCAUGAGGAACACCAGUGGCGAAGGCGCCGCUCUGGGCCGUAACUGACGCUGAGGAGCGAAAGCGUGGGUAGCAAA